AAUCACUAACCCAGGCUUGAUGUUAUUUUAAUCAAGCAUGAUAAGAAUAAUGAAAUGAUGCACCUCUUAGGAUUUAUUUGUAUGGCAGGGGAGGACUUCAGGAACAUAUCAUAUAAAUGAUGGAAGCCCAAGGACUUUUCCUAUCUUGCUGGUUUGUCCUUCUACCACCCCACGGGGUGGGGGCGCUGUGAUGAGGCAGAAGCAACAGAACAGGGUAGGGGUGGGGGUAGUCAGGAGACAUGGGUGAGUUACCUGGAGCAGAUGCCCUGCUCCCAGGACCCCAGUCUCUUCACAUGGGGAGGACUUGAUGCAGCAGCAUGUUGGUGAAUGUUUAAUGCCUAAUAAAUGCUUCUCCCCAAAAACAUGUAUUUUCAUAUGCGGCAUAUGCUUAUUAUACAAUUUACUAAUAUUAGCGAUGUGUAGUAUACAAUUUAAAAUAAUAAAACAUAGACUACUCUAUUGUACAUUCUGCAUAGCCAGUUGGUUUUUGUCAAUUUUUGCUGAACUCUCCCAUCAGUAUCCAACCAACAGUUGCAUCUGACAAAUGAAUGUGGUUCUGACAUGAACAUUGGUUGAUAUUUUUGUUUAUGUUAAAGAGGAAGGUGAAAGUGAAACCACAAAGACACAUGUUGGGACAAUAUGCGUUCGUCAGUGGCAUGAGUGGCUUCUCUGCUGAGUUGGAGAAUGGUAUUGGAAUACUGAUAGCCUAUAUCCUUGAGUUUUGCACUGUUCACAGUGUAACAACUAUCUAUAUGAUACACUGAAUUCCUGACAUUUUUGCCACUAUUCUUUUAAGUAUUGGCAAUCAAUAAAACAGUAGAUCAAGCUCUGGUGUGUAGUGUUGGCCAGUGUCUAUGGUAUAAAGACUCCUACCUUGACCUCUGUUAAGCCACCCAUGUGAUGUCACUGAAAUUGGAUUUGGGAAGGGAUGUGGGGUUAUAUACCAUUAUAUAGUGUAUCCACUAUACAGAUACAGGAGAUAUAAAGAACCUCAGAAGUACACAUAAUAGUAAAACAUAGUAAAAUACUUAGUAAGAGGUAGCUGUAUUUAUGACCUUUUUUUAAAAUAUAAUUUAUUUAAUAGAAGUUUACAUAAUUUAACUUUUAAUUAUGGCUGUGCUUAAUAAAACAGCUUGGAAAAUUCCUUAAAAUUUCACCAUCUGCUCUCAGGAAGGUAUGAGCUGGUUGCAGCAGAGCAGAGGUUUGAUGAGAUUCAUCCCAGUGUCCACCGCCAGAUGAGAUUUCCAAGAAGGGCUAGCAUUUCAGACCCUUCCUCUCCCAAGUCACUGUCCCUCCCAUCCAGGGCCCAUCCUGCUUCCUCUCUGAAAGGAGCAGAUGUAAAGCAGUUGAAUCUGAUGGCAGAACAUAGGUUGCCUUUGGAGCUGACCUCCUUCUGGAGCCCACUGACAUCAUGAUCUGGGGCCUGGAAAGUGAAUGUCUGGAUGCGUGUUUUAAAGAGUGAUUUUUAUCAGGGAAAAAGCACCUGCUUUCAACCCUCAGCCCCGUGGAUUCUGUAAGGCUAAUGCAACAUCAGUUCAUGCCAGUGUGCAGACAGUGAAAAGAAGUGUGUCUCAAGGUCAAGCCAUCCCCAGGAGAGAAUAGCAGCCUGACAAGAGCAUGACCAGGGGAUAGAUAUUUACCUUGUGAUUCAUUAGCACAAGCCCUGCACAGGCUCAGACAACUGCCUGCUGCAAUGUUCCUGAGAGGCCAACACCAGUCAGUUAAGCAAAAGGUUGAGGGUGGGGUAAAGUGCUAUCAUUUCCUGGAUGCCUGCUGCAACCUUGACCCUUUGAGGCCAUACCUCUGACCUUCACAGCUCAUCAGGCCUCCUGAUGCCUGCUUUCUCGAUGAGGAAACUGAUGCACAAGAGGUGAAGUGAGCUGCACAAGCUCCUGCAGAAGUAAGCCAUGGAGCUGGGAUUUUUAACCCAGGAUGAUCUGGCUCCCAAAUCAACUCCAAGUGAUUCACUGACAAUAAGAAACAGAAAUGUCCGGGGAGUUCCCUGGUGGCUCACAGGUUAAGGACCUGGGAUUCACUGCUGUGGCUCAGGUGACAGCUGUGGCAUGGGUUCAGUCUGUGGCCUGGGAACUUCUGUUUGCCACAGGUGCAACCAGAAAAGAAAGAGAGAGAAAGAGAGAGAGUGGGAGAGAAAGAAAGAGAAAGGAGGGAGGGAAGAAAAGAAGGAAAAAAGAAAGAAAGCGGAAGAACGAAGGAAGAAAGGAAAGAAAGGAAGGACGAUUAUGUCCAGCGGAUGGGAACCUUGUAGCUCUCUGUAAGGAAGACAUACAGCUGGAGGUUGUAAACUGUAAACUCAAGUCUAAUCCUGAUUGCAGUGUUGUUUUGUUUGGCCUGAAUAGUGUUUUCUAAAAAAUGUUUGAAUUCAUUACCAACCCUUAAAAAUAGGGAGUUUUCAUAUAGUUUCAUGCAGAAUGCAGAAUUCUGGUUCCUCUUGGGAAACCAGAAGAUCUGGGAACAGUCAGUUGGAGCUGAGGAUGACUGCCAUUUUCAGAAGGAACAGGAACACUCUUGAGUGCCAUCGUCCCCACCCACCCUGGGGCUGCUCUGUGGGAAAUUAGAUGACCCCACAGCUGCAGAGGGAGGCUAGACCCAGCCCAGGAAGUUCUUGGACACCAACAUGUAAGGGUACCAGCCUGUCAGAACUUCCUUGUUGUACCGGUUUGCUAGGCUGCCUUAACAAAGUACCACACACUGGGUGGCCUAAACAACAGAAAUCUGUUUCCAUUCUGGAGGCUAAAAUCCAAGGUCAAGGCAGGAUUGGUUUCUUCUGAGGCCUCUUCUUGGUUUGUAGAUGGCUGCGUUGUCUCUGUGUCUUCCCUCUGAGUCCUAAUCUCCUCUUCUUAUAAGGACACCAGCCAUGUUGGAUUAGGGCCAACUCUAAUGACCUUGUUUUAACUUGAUUACCUCUUCAAAGACCCUCUCUCCAAAUACAGGCACAUUCUGAGGUACUAGAGGUUAUGACUUGAAUAUACACAUUUGGGAGGGGCUGCAACUCAGCCCCUAAUGAUCAGAUAUUGAUUGUCUUUCCCUAGGGACAGACCUAAUUUUGUACAGUCUGAAACUUAUACAGUGUUGGAAGCCUUCUUCUUCUUCUUUUUUUAAUGGCCACACUGGCUGAAUAUGAAAAUUCCCAGUCCAGAAAUUGAAUCUAAGCUGCAGCCAUGACCUACACCACAGCUGUGUAGGUCAGCUCUGGAUCCUUUAACCCACCGUGCCCGGCCAGGGAUUAAACCCGCAUCUCUGCAGCAACCUGAGCUGAUGCAUUUGGAUUCUUAAUGUCUGUGCCAUAGAGAAAACUCCUGGAAACCUUCUUGGUAAAGAAGAAUAUAUAACUGUGAAUGUAGAACUCGGUGCAGGGAGCAGAGCUGCCGGUGCCCUACCCAUGUCCCCCAGGCUGUGCUGGAACUCAGGGUCAGGACCUCCAGCUUUCGCCAAGGCCCUUGCCCACCAAGAGUGCUGGGGAAAUAACUCCUGCUGCCACACUCCCAAGCCCUUGGCCAGUGACUCCUCACCCCUGAAGUGGGACAGCUCUGAGGUGUGUCUUCUACCCGGGGCAUUAAUUGUGUCUUUAUUUCCGAUAUUGCUGUUGUUUUGACAUCUAGGGCCUUGCUGACCCUGGGAGGUUGCCCCCUCCCAGAGUUAGCCAAUUGUUAGAGAUAGUAAAAAAUGCAACUUUCAAGUGCAAGUCAGCCACUCAAGGGCUCACACCCCAAGCACCUUCUUUAUCAGGCUCUCUCUCCUUUUGUAAUCACCCUCAAGCCAGGUACCAGCCAACUAGGACCACCUGGUGCCCAUAGUCCACAUAAAUUAGUCAAGCUAGCCCAUUGUAAUCAUACCCUGCCUCACGUGUUCCUUCCUGCAGAAACUGCAAUAAAGAUUCUUCAUAGGCCCUCCUCCCUCUGCCUUCUGCCCAACCCUGGUGUUUCUCCGUGUGGCUCCUCAUGGGCUAUGCCCCCCUCCUCUUGGGAACUACGAGUAACAAGCUAUCUUUUCAAUGGCAGUCGCCUCCUGAUCUGUUGGCCUUGCCUUAACUAAAUAAUAAUAAAAGCUGUAUUUUAAAACAUUCUGUUCCCCAAGGGCCCCUAUGGGAUUCAGCUCCAGACACCCACAAUGGGAGCUGGCUUGAUCAUGCAGCCUUUGCUGGCUGACUGCCCUUCCCGGUCUCAUUUCCCCACAUGCCUGCCAAUAUGCCUCCCAGAUAAACCAACCAUAUUCUCAGCCUUGUCCCACGGGCUGCUUCCAGGGGAACCAAAUUAAGUCAGCACAGAAGUGAAUGUUUAUUUUAAAUACAGAGAGGAAAUAAAAGUGGAGACAGCGGCCUUAACUGAUGGCUGUUGUAGGAUCUUACAUUGGCAAAUUUAAAAAAAACGCGGGACCACAUGAACACGUUAGGGCUCUUGGAAGGGGCUCAGAUGAGGGCCACAAUGCUUACAGUUCAUUAGUUUAUGAUAAGUCACCCUCUGACUAGGACAGAGGCUCCAUGAGGGCCAGUACAGUGCCCGGCACAGUGGCUGGCAUGUAGCAGGUGCUUUAUGCAUAGUAGUUUAAUGAACGAACAUCCUAACAGAGCAGACUUGGUGUGCCCCUUUCUCUCCUGGGUGGGGCUUGGUUGGCAUCCUUUAGAUCCCUGUUUUGAGGGUGUCUCCUGGUAGUAGCAAGCCUCCUUCCAAGGGGCACAAUUGAUUUCUUUAGACAUGCUAAUUCCAGAGUUCCCAUGUGGCUUAUUGAUAAUGAACCCAACUGGUAUCCAUGAGAAUGUGGGUUCAAUCCCUGGCUUCA
RNAcentral lists this long non-coding RNA (4797 nucleotides) under Sus scrofa (pig). Its description in RNAcentral is "lncRNA (ENSSSCG00060052218.1)". Lineage: Eukaryota; Metazoa; Chordata; Mammalia; Artiodactyla; Suidae. The record is from RNAcentral.